This 253-nucleotide ribosomal RNA is filed under the name uncultured bacterium. RNAcentral's name for it is "partial 16S ribosomal RNA". It matches the Rfam family "Bacterial small subunit ribosomal RNA", at positions 524 to 776 of the family's 1533-position model. The record is from RNAcentral.
UACAGAGGUCCCGAGCGUUGUUCGGAUUCAUUGGGCGUAAAGGGUGUGUAGGAGGUCGGGUUAGUCGGGUGUGAAAUCCCACUGCUUAACAGUGGAACUGCAUUCGAUACUGCUCGGCUAGAGGACUGGAGGGGGGAUCGGAAUUCUUGGUGUAGCAGUGAAAUGCGUAGAUAUCAAGAGGAACACCGGUGGCGAAGGCGGAUCCCUGGAAAGUAUCUGACUCUGAAACACGAAAGCUAGGGGAGCAAACGGG